RNAcentral lists this ribosomal RNA (455 nucleotides) under uncultured bacterium. Its description in RNAcentral is "bacterial SSU rRNA". It matches the Rfam family "Bacterial small subunit ribosomal RNA", at positions 9 to 447 of the family's 1533-position model. The record is from RNAcentral.
GAGUUUGAUCCUGGCUCAGGAUGAACGCUGGCGGCGUGCCUAACACAUGCAAGUCGAACGGGGUCUUAGUACGGAAGUUUUCGGAUGGAAGGAUUAAGACUUAGUGGCGGACGGGUGAGUAACGCGUGGGUAACCUGCCCUGUACAGGGGGAUAACAGUUGGAAACGGCUGCUAAAACCGCAUAACAUGGAGAUACCGCAUGAUAUUUCCAUCAAAUAUUUAUAGGUACAGGAUGGGCCCGCGUCUGAUUAGCCAGUUGGCAGGGUAAUGGCCUACCAAAGCGACGAUCAGUAGCCGGCUUGAGAGAGUGACCGGCCACAUUGGGACUGAGACACGGCCCAAACUCCUACGGGAGGCAGCAGUGGGGGAUAUUGCACAAUGGGGGAAACCCUGAUGCAGCGACGCCGCGUGAGUGAAGAAGUAUUUCGGUAUGUAAAGCUCUAUCGGCAGGGAAG